This 933-nucleotide ribosomal RNA is filed under the name uncultured bacterium. RNAcentral describes it as "bacterial SSU rRNA". It matches the Rfam family "Bacterial small subunit ribosomal RNA", at positions 50 to 996 of the family's 1533-position model. The record is from RNAcentral.
UACACAUGCAAGUCGAACGAGAGAUGAAGAGCUUGCUCUUCAAAUCGAGUGGCGAACGGGUGAGUAACGCGUGAGGAACCUGCCUCAAAGAGGGGGACAACAGUUGGAAACGACUGCUAAUACCGCAUAAGCCCACGGCUCGGCAUCGAGCAGGGGGAAAAGGAGCAAUCCGCUUUGAGAUGGCCUCGCGUCCGAUUAGCUAGUUGGUGAGGUAACGGCCCACCAAGGCGACGAUCGGUAGCCGGACUGAGAGGUUGAACGGCCACAUUGGGACUGAGACACGGCCCAGACUCCUACGGGAGGCAGCAGUGGGGAAUAUUGCACAAUGGGGGAAACCCUGAUGCAGCGACGCCGCGUGGAGGAAGAAGGUCUUCGGAUUGUAAACUCCUGUUGUUGAGGAAGAUAAUGACGGUACUCAACAAGGAAGUGACGGCUAACUACGUGCCAGCAGCCGCGGUAAAACGUAGGUCACAAGCGUUGUCCGGAAUUACUGGGUGUAAAGGGAGCGCAGGCGGGAGAACAAGUUGGAAGUGAAAUCCAUGGGCUCAACCCAUGAACUGCUUUCAAAACUGUUUUUCUUGAGUAGUGCAGAGGUAGGCGGAAUUCCCGGUGUAGCGGUGGAAUGCGUAGAUAUCGGGAGGAACACCAGUGGCGAAGGCGGCCUACUGGGCACCAACUGACGCUGAGGCUCGAAAGUGUGGGUAGCAAACAGGAUUAGAUACCCUGGUAGUCCACACCGUAAACGAUGAUUACUAGGUGUUGGAGGAUUGACCCCUUCAGUGCCGCAGUUAACACAAUAAGUAAUCCACCUGGGGAGUACGACCGCAAGGUUGAAACUCAAAGGAAUUGACGGGGGCCCGCACAAGCAGUGGAGUAUGUGGUUUAAUUCGACGCAACGCGAAGAACCUUACCAAGUCUUGACAUCCCUUGACG